This 393-nucleotide ribosomal RNA is filed under the name uncultured bacterium. RNAcentral's name for it is "partial 16S ribosomal RNA". It matches the Rfam family "Bacterial small subunit ribosomal RNA", at positions 523 to 918 of the family's 1533-position model. The record is from RNAcentral.
AUACGGAGGAUCCGAGCGUUAUCCGGAUUUAUUGGGUUUAAAGGGAGCGUAGGUGGACAGUUAAGUCAGUUGUGAAAGUUUGCGGCUCAACCGUAAAAUUGCAGUUGAUACUGGCUGUCUUGAGUACAGUAGAGGUGGGUGGAAUUCGGGGGGUAGCGGGGAAAUGCUUAGAUAUCACGAAGAACUCCGAUUGCGAAGGCAGCUCACUGGACUGCAACUGACACUGAUGCUCGAAAGUGUGGGUAUCAAACAGGAUUAGAUACCCUGGUAGUCCACACAGUAAACGAUGAAUACUCGCUGUUUGCGAUAUACAGUAAGCGGCCAAGCGAAAGCAUUAAGUAUUCCACCUGGGGAGUACGCCGGCAACGGUGAAACUCAAAUGAAUUGACGGGG